RNAcentral lists this long non-coding RNA (1708 nucleotides) under Brassica napus (rape). RNAcentral describes it as "long non-coding RNA (BNAP_LNC018351)". The record is from RNAcentral. Lineage: Eukaryota; Viridiplantae; Streptophyta; Magnoliopsida; Brassicales; Brassicaceae.
AUGAAUAUACUAAAAUAACAAUUUUUUUUUUGGUAAACGUAGAAUAGCAAAUAUUACAUCCAUAAAUUGACUUAUUAAAAUUAUACACGAGUAAAUAAAGUUGCAAUAUUAUACAGAUGCAUAUAUAUAACAUGCUACAUAUAAGACAUAUAUCCGUCAUAUGCAACGGUUUAUUAUGCAGUUAAUAGAAAACUAAGUGGGAAAUAUUAAAUAUCUCCACAUAAUCAUUUUUUUUUCAUUUCUUAUUAAGCUGACGCUGGUUCUUGAAGUGAUCUCUCGGGUUGGCUUCGAAAGGUGCCCUAGGAAUAAUCGAACCAUUCCCACCAGGAGCCUUCAUCAUCUUCUCUUUCGGGCCGUUCUCAUCUGAGCCUGAUGUCAUCCACGAGAAUAGACUAGCGGCCGCUCCAAUGGCUCCAACCACGCCGAUGAUAAAUUUUCUAAUAAAUCAGGGUUAAAAAAAAGCAGUGACAUUUACCCACGUUAUCAAAAUGGUAGUAUUAAGAAUAUAAAUCAUGGGGUCAAGUUACUCCGGAGAGAAAAAGUUACGGGGGUCAAUAAAUCAAUUUUACAGAAUUAAACAAUUUUGUUUCUUCAAAAUACAAGUAAUUUUUCUAAAACUCUGAAAUUCAUAGGGGUGUCAAGUUACCUCCCUCCCCACAAGCGGCCUCUGCCACUGGUCCCAAAUACAUCCUAGCGGGAACCACGAUCCAUGCCAAAGCGAAGUAGUUCGACCACUUUUCACCUCCGCAAGGCAAAAGGAUUGACCUAUUGUCCCAUAUGAGCCAGCUUUUGUAUUCACUUUCACCAUCCAAAUUGAACAUUUAAUAAUGAAAUGCAUGUUGAUCCUGUUUAUCCAGAGCGACGACUUAGAGGACAAGAUAAGCAAAGGUUAAUUUCAAGCACCAUAUUGUAUUCACUUCUUAAGCUUCCUUCGCAUUUCGAUUUGCAAACUUCUGGUCAUGCUAUCUUCACUUUUCUACGGUUUUAUCACAUGACUUAUACUGAUUAACAAAAUUUCAUGGCCUCAGUCAACAUUCUUAAUCGGCUCCCGAAAACAACAAAUUUAAACAUGAAUAUACUAAAAUAACAAUUUUUUUUUUGGUAAACGUAGAAUAGCAAAUAUUACAUCCAUAAAUUGACUUAUUAAAAUUAUACACGAGUAAAUAAAGUUGCAAUAUUAUACAGAUGCAUAUAUAUAACAUGCUACAUAUAAGACAUAUAUCCGUCAUAUGCAACGGUUUAUUAUGCAGUUAAUAGAAAACUAAGUGGGAAAUAUUAAAUAUCUCCACAUAAUCAUUUUUUUUUCAUUUCUUAUUAAGCUGACGCUGGUUCUUGAAGUGAUCUCUCGGGUUGGCUUCGAAAGGUGCCCUAGGAAUAAUCGAACCAUUCCCACCAGGAGCCUUCAUCAUCUUCUCUUUCGGGCCGUUCUCAUCUGAGCCUGAUGUCAUCCACGAGAAUAGACUAGCGGCCGCUCCAAUGGCUCCAACCACGCCGAUGACUUUGGUUGCGGUAUCGUAAAAUGUCGAACUCUCAUCUUUGUCAUCUUUUCUCUCGGUGCUGUUCAUAUUGAUAUGGUCACUAUAUGAGUGUUUUGAUUUGUUGAGUUUAAAGAGGGGAAUCAGGAGUGAGUUAUAUAGAGUGGCAAGCUAGUGUACCUUGCCCCUCAGGAGUAAUAAAGACUUUAAUUACAUAGUAAGGGGGUUUAAAC